This 3106-nucleotide long non-coding RNA is filed under the name Capsella rubella. Its description in RNAcentral is "long non-coding RNA (CRUB_LNC003770)". Lineage: Eukaryota; Viridiplantae; Streptophyta; Magnoliopsida; Brassicales; Brassicaceae. The record is from RNAcentral.
CGACUUUGUGAAAUAAACUACACAUAUAUAUAUUAAACAAACACUACAACUUUAGGACAAAAUUAUAGAAACAAAAAAGGUCGUAGAUUGAUAAAAAGAUUGGAAAAUAGUUUUAUUAUAAGAUUAAAACAGCUAAAUAUAAUAAUGUUACGUAUCAGAACUUGGUGCGGGUGCAACCUUUGUUCUGACACAUUCACAAAAACAAAGUAAAAAUAAUAUGAACGAGACAAGUCCCCAUCCUAGAAAUAUACAGAUUAUACCCAAAUACUCCAUAUUGUCUUUUCUUCUUCUUACGAAAGUUCCUACACAAACACGAAAGAAGGUUAGGUUAUUAUACAGUGAUCUUUAUAAUAGGUGUGUAUAUAUAUAAGUCAUAUAAUUGCCUUAUCUCUACAACUUGGGAAUCUAGGUUAACAUAUGUAAUAUAUAUGCAUAAGAAAAAGAAAUGAAAGGUUAACAUAAUACAAUAAGAUGCAAAAUAUAAGCGUCAGAGAAGAAAAGGUUUUUUUCCAUUUUUUAUAGAAAUUUUUGUACAUACAAACGAGACUAUUUUUUUUAGGGUAUUUGAAGUAAUCUAAAUAAUCAACUGGUAUUUCUUAUAAUUAUUUAAAAUUUAUUAAAAUUUGAAGCUGAACGAAUAAUUAAUUUAUUAAAUAAAUAAUUAGAAAAGAAUGUGAAAUGGAGCAAUUGAAAAAAAAAAUUAAAAUGUUUAAGGAAAUAUAAAAGAAACAAAAAAAAAAUCAGCUAAUGAUAUGAGGCUUAGAUUUUGGUUUAACCAAACGGAAUCAUUUGGUUAGUUAGGUUUAACCCAAAUAACCGAAUAAUAGAACAGUUUAGGUGAACCGAACAAAAUUUAAAAUGUCGUUGAUCGGUUUAAUUAAGAGAACCGAUUCUGAACCAAAAAUAAUAAAAAAAUCUCAGUUUUGAGUUUUGAUUCAGUUUUGUUCACUCAGUAUGGUUAAAUGUCCCAGGCCUAAAUGAUAUAUAAUAUAUAUGAUUGAUUUAGUAAUUAAGAAACUCCUAAAACAGAGAAGAAGAGAAACAAAAGAUAUGUCAAAAUCUUCUUUAGACAACAAAAAGAAAAAAAACUCAAAGGUCUAAAUAAAAAUGAUUCCCAAUUAACUCCUCAAAGUCUUAUGUGAUCAAGAUGAAAUUCUAAGAAAAUUAAUUUAUUUGCAUUUAAUAAAAAAGGAAAAUGAAAAUGAAUGAAGAGUGAAGUCAACAAAGAAGAGCCCCUCGGGCGCAAUGCAUGCCGUCUUGUUUUGAUAAUUGCCGGCAAUUUCAAUCUCUACCAUUCCUUCUCUUAUUGUCUCCUCUCCUCCCAAUAAUUCAUGCAUCUGCCUAAAUUAUCUAAUCAAUUUUUUUCUUUUCUUUCUCAUUGGUAUUGUAAUAACAAAACUACAAUGGGAUGAUUCACAUUCAGAUAAAUUAAACCACUCUUUGUAUGUUUUAGUAUAAUCCUAUUUGUAUUAGAAAAAAAAAAAAUCAUUUCGAAGUUUAUGAUAUACUCUCUCGAUUUCAAAUUAGUUGUCAUUUUUUACCGAUUUUUUCAAAUUAGUUAUCGUUGUCGGUAAGUCCGAUAACAGAGCAAUUAGCAACUGUUAGUAUGUUAACAACAUGUUUUAUGAAUGGUUUGCAUUUUUAAUCUCUUUAUGAAGUAUGUACAGCUUUAUUUCAUGUUUUAAUCUGCAAGUCAAUGUGUAUGUAUGGUUUAAAUGGUUUUCGUGAAAGUUUAUGGUUUAAUUGACGUAAAUGAUUGUGUUCAUGAAUUUAAUGACAUUUUCCCUAUUAAAUUUUGAUGUUAACUUUCUAUUAAAUAUUUCCAUUUUUUUUUGUUAAAUUCUCAAGAAAUUUCUAGUAUGUUGCAUACUUUCCAUUUUAUCUACAUAUUUGUUAUAUCACGUUUCAACACCUGAAUAUUUGUCAAUAUUGGGGUUUUUUAAAUAAACUUACAAGAUGCAUUCAUUAUUUGUAUAUAUAUGUAGCGUGAACGCUCGAAACAAGGGAAGCUACGUAAUUGCUACGACACUAUAACUUUUUAUACUAGUUUUAAAUGAACUAGGAUGACAUAUGUUAUAAAUUUGCCAAUUUGAUUUGACGUUGAACCAACCAAUCUCAUAAGAAAAAAACAACUAUACAUUAAAUACAAAUAUAUAAUGUAUAGUCUUCUUAUUCACAUUACAAAACUAACUCAAAUAUGUAUAUAUUAUAAUUUAGAUUACCAAAAAACAAAAAAGUAGGAUUAAGAAGAAACAAAAGUUGUAAGUGUGAACAACAAUUAUAAUGGGUGUGUUUACAAUAUAAUCUGAACAACAAUUAUUAAAACUCGAUCAAACUAUGACUUUUUCCCUUUGACAAAUUUACAUAUUGACCUUUAGAUGAAAUAAAAACUUGAUUUUAUGAGAUUAAUAUAGAUUUCGGUUCGUGGUUAGAAGGAAAAAAGUUAUUUUAAGAGAUUAAUAUAGAUUUCGAUAUGAAAUAAAAAAUAUAUUUUAAGAGAUUAGUAUAGAUAUUCAUAUAUGACUUUUUUUGUAAAACCUAAAAAAAAAAACUUGAUUUUAGAAGAUUAGUAUAAAUUUUGGUGUGUAAUUUUGCCGGUUAGCUAGCUAGAGAACACAAAUCCAAACUAGAUUAUAAAAUGUAUGAAAAUUUUAUUUUUAUUUUUUAACAAAAUAAAAGUUACAUAUUGAAGGUAGUAGUAAUUAAAAGAGAGAAAUAAAUAAUUAAAAAAAUGCCUGGCCUUCCCAUGUACGCCGACGACGACAACGACUCAUCAAGACAACUCUUUAUUUUUCCCGGCGAAACAACGAAGUAACCUCUAAUGCAUCUCCUCGUAUAUAUGUACUAGUGGUCUCUUUGUGAUUGUGUAAGUACAUGUAAGUGAUCUUUCAUGUCUUUUGAUCUUCAUCUUCAUCAUCUUCUUGAAUCUUGAGAUCUUCUUGAAUCUUUGAGAUUUGUAUCUUUGUGAGUCUUCUUUGAGAGAAAGAGAGAGAGGAAGAGGAUGAUGAAGAACUUUGAAACUCAAACUCUUGUCUUCAUUUGGAGUUUUUGUUUUAUAGAGUACAAUAUUGUCACACGUAUGAUCUCACUAAAUAGAGGUUUAGUC